UACGGAGGGUGCAAGCGUUGUCCGGAUUUAUUGGGUUUAAAGGGUGCGUAGGCGGGACUUUAAGUCAGCGGUGAAAGUCUGGGGCUCAACCCCGGGAGUGCCGAUGAUACUGUGGUCCUUGAGUGUUGACGGGGUACAUGGAAUUUAUGGUGUAGCGGUGAAAUGCAUAGAUACCAUAAGGAACACCGAUAGCGAAGGCAUUGUACUGGUCAACAACUGACGCUGAGGCACGAAAGCGUGGGUAGCGAACAGG
Molecule: unclassified non-coding RNA, 253 nt
Filed under: uncultured Cytophagales bacterium
Lineage: Bacteria; Pseudomonadati; Bacteroidota; Sphingobacteriia; Sphingobacteriales
Description: contains 16S-23S intergenic spacer region
Rfam family: Bacterial small subunit ribosomal RNA
Source: RNAcentral